GGCCUGAUGGUCUAGUGGUAGUAAGUUACAUUCUUCAUGUGCGAGGUCCCGGGUUCAAACCCCGGUCAGGCCC
This 73-nucleotide transfer RNA is filed under the name Fusarium vanettenii 77-13-4. Its description in RNAcentral is "tRNA-Lys (CTT) (tRNA-Lys-CTT-2-1)". It matches the Rfam family "tRNA". From Rfam's summary of the family: Transfer RNA (tRNA) molecules are approximately 80 nucleotides in length. Their secondary structure includes four short double-helical elements and three loops (D, anti-codon, and T loops). The record is from RNAcentral. Lineage: Eukaryota; Fungi; Ascomycota; Sordariomycetes; Hypocreales; Nectriaceae.